UACGUAGGUGGCGAGCGUUAUCCGGAUUUAUUGGGUGUAAAGGGAGCGUAGGCGGAUUCUUAAGUGGGAUGUGAAAUACUUGGGCUCAACCCGGGUACUGCAUUCCAAACUGAGUAUCUAGAGUGUAGGAGAGGUGAGUGGAAUUCCUGGUGUAGCGGUGAAAUGCGUAGAGAUUAGGAAGAACACCAGUUGCGAAGGCGACUCUCUGGAUUGUAACUGACGCUGAGGCUCGAAAGUGUGGGGAUCGAACAGG
This 253-nucleotide ribosomal RNA is filed under the name uncultured bacterium. Its description in RNAcentral is "partial 16S ribosomal RNA". It matches the Rfam family "Bacterial small subunit ribosomal RNA", at positions 524 to 776 of the family's 1533-position model. The record is from RNAcentral.